This 437-nucleotide unclassified non-coding RNA is filed under the name Hevea brasiliensis (rubber tree). Lineage: Eukaryota; Viridiplantae; Streptophyta; Magnoliopsida; Malpighiales; Euphorbiaceae. The record is from RNAcentral.
GGGGGCUUUUGGCAACCACAAGGAGGCAUUAAAAAUUACAAAUAUGACAUUCUAGUUCAGAAGUUGCCUUAAAAUAACUGUGGCAGAAUAAGCCACAAAACCAAAACAGUUUAAUUCCAAGAAUUGAUAACAUAGUCAUGCAAGAAAUCAACUUACUUCAAAUUACACAUAUUAGUACAUGUAUAGCUCAUAUUUGUGCAAAGCAGGUUAAUUCUUUAUUUUUGUCCUUUCAAAAAACCAAAAUACUUAAACUUUGAAAAAUUGAAUAUAAUUCUUCUUUUUAUUUUCAGCCUGAAACUCAUGCUUUAGAAAAAUUGAAACAAUCGAAUGAAAAUAGCAGACACAAGAAAGAAUCAAAAAGAAUAUCAUCAGGGUUUUAUCUCACAGUUCAAAGAACAGAACUAUAAAACCAAACCUCAGCACCGGUCUUAGCAGCA